UAGGGAAUCUUCGGCAAUGGACGGAAGUCUGACCGAGCAACGCCGCGUGAGUGAAGAAGGUUUUCGGAUCGUAAAGCUCUGUUGUAAGAGAAGAACGAGUGUAAGAGUGGAAAGUUCACACUGUGACGGUAUCUUACCAGAAAGGGACGGCUAACUACGUGCCAGCAGCCGCGGUAAUACGUAGGUCCCGAGCGUUGUCCGGAUUUAUUGGGCGUAAAGCGAGCGCAGGCGGUUAGAUAAGUCUGAAGUUAAAGGCUGUGGCUUAACCGUAGUAGGCUUUGGAAACUGUUUAACUUGAGUGCAAGAGGGGAGAGUGGAAUUCCAUGUGUAGCGGUGAAAUGCGUAGAUAUAUGGAGGAACACCGGUGGCGAAAGCGGCUCUCUGGCUUGUAACUGACGCUGAGGCUCGAAAGCGUGGGGAGCAAACAGGAUUAGAUACCCUGGUAGUCCACGCUGUAAACGAUGAGUGCUAGGUGUUAGACCCUUUCCGGGGUUUAGUGCCGUAGCUAACGCAUUAAGCACUCCGCCUGGGGAGUACGACCGCAAGGUUG
This 550-nucleotide ribosomal RNA is filed under the name uncultured bacterium. RNAcentral's name for it is "bacterial SSU rRNA". It matches the Rfam family "Bacterial small subunit ribosomal RNA", at positions 355 to 896 of the family's 1533-position model. The record is from RNAcentral.